RNAcentral lists this transfer RNA (87 nucleotides) under bacterium. RNAcentral's name for it is "tRNA-Leu". It matches the Rfam family "tRNA". Rfam says of the family: Transfer RNA (tRNA) molecules are approximately 80 nucleotides in length. The record is from RNAcentral. RNAcentral also lists the same sequence under 1 other name.
GCCGAAGUGGUGGAAUUGGUAGACGCACCGGACUCAAAAUCCGGCGAAGGCAACUUCAUGGGGGUUCGAUUCCCCCCUUCGGCACCA